GUGCCAGCAGCCGCGGUAAUACGAAGGGUGCAAGCGUUACUCGGAAUUACUGGGCGUAAAGCGUGCGUAGGUGGUUUGUUAAGUCUGAUGUGAAAGCCCUGGGCUCAACCUGGGAACGGCAUUGGAAACUGGCUUACUAGAGUGCGGUAGAGGGGUGUGGAAUUCCCGGUGUAGCAGUGAAAUGCGUAGAUAUCGGGAGGAACAUCUGUGGCGAAGGCGACACCCUGGACCAGCACUGACACUGAGGCACGAAAGCGUGGGGAGCAAACAGGAUUAGAAACCCGCGUAGUCC
RNAcentral lists this ribosomal RNA (292 nucleotides) under uncultured bacterium. RNAcentral describes it as "partial 16S ribosomal RNA". It matches the Rfam family "Bacterial small subunit ribosomal RNA", at positions 505 to 796 of the family's 1533-position model. The record is from RNAcentral.